UCGUUUAAUAUUUUCAUUAGAUUCUGAGCUUUGUUAUGUAUAAGGAAGAAAGAUAUGCCUCUUCUUUCAGCAGCAAGAUACAUUCUUGUUAGCUUUGUUCUGGAGGCAAAUAU
This is a non-coding RNA of Brassica napus (rape), 113 nucleotides long. The record is from Rfam. NCBI's taxonomy places the organism in Eukaryota, Viridiplantae, Streptophyta, Magnoliopsida, Brassicales, Brassicaceae.